UACGAAGGGGGCUAGCGUUGCUCGGAAUUACUGGGCGUAAAGGGCGCGUAGGCGGCAAUUCAAGUCAUCUGUGAAAUCUCCGGGCUUAACUCGGAACGGUCAGGUGAAACUGCUUUGCUGGAGUGCGGAAGGGGCAAUCGGAAUUCUCGGUGUAGCGGUGAAAUGCGUAGAUAUCGAGAGGAACACCUGAGGUGAAGACGGGUUGCUGGGCCGACACUGACGCUGAAGCGCGAAAGCCAGGGGAGCAAACGGG
Molecule: ribosomal RNA, 253 nt
Filed under: uncultured bacterium
Lineage: Bacteria
Description: partial 16S ribosomal RNA
Rfam family: Bacterial small subunit ribosomal RNA
Source: RNAcentral